GGGGAGGGCACAAAUAUGCACAAACAAGUUCUAUUUUUUAUGGAUAUGUUAAGAGUUUAUUUACAAGCCUAUAGACAUGAUUUCUAGGUGUUCAAAAAAAGUAACACGUAUAUGCAUAAUUUUGUAAAUUUAAAUGUUAUGAACAAAUUAAACCUUAGACAUGGUUUCUACAUGACAAGAUGAUGCUAAAAUUAUAACAUUGUUAAAACACCUAAUCAGCCUAUUAUGAUUUUAUUUUAAAAUUAACGGAAUCUAGUUUAUUAUUUUUUAGACUUAUUAACAAAGCAUCAAACAAUUGAUUGGAUUAUAACACCUACAAACAAUAGUUCUAGGUGGUUAAAGACAAAACUAUAGGCAUGAUUUCUAAAAAUUUAUAAUGAACAACUAGGCAUAUAAAUCCCCCUCCCCUAGA
RNAcentral lists this unclassified non-coding RNA (412 nucleotides) under Hevea brasiliensis (rubber tree). Lineage: Eukaryota; Viridiplantae; Streptophyta; Magnoliopsida; Malpighiales; Euphorbiaceae. The record is from RNAcentral.